Non-coding RNA from Phoenix dactylifera (date palm), 421 nucleotides. The record is from RefSeq and is a predicted model, not a curated record. NCBI's taxonomy places the organism in Eukaryota, Viridiplantae, Streptophyta, Magnoliopsida, Arecales, Arecaceae.
UAUUUCACCACUAAAGCGGAGGUAAGCUUGACAACAUAGCAUUUCAAUCUGUCAUAGAAGAAGAUGGCCAGGCUAUCCUAUCUUCUUCUAGUCCUCCUUGUCUUUGUAUCAGCUGAGAUGAUGAUGCCAAUGGUGGAUGCUAAGAAGUGUAUGGCUUACCUGGGUAUCAACGGCAACUGUGACCCCAAAGAAUGCUCUUGGGAGUGCUCUAAAUUCUACGAAAAUGGACGUGGAUAUUGUUUCUCAUUUCCUCCUGGAAAUAACAGCGCAUGUGUAUGCAUGCAUGACUGUUAAUUGAGCAAAUGCUAUCUCCGCUGUGUUGAGAAUAAGUAAUCUUCUACCUAUGAUGAUUUGAACUAAAGAUAUUGUGCGUAUGAAUAAAAUUAAGACUGAACCUUCUUUCAGAGGUCUUACAAUGUCA